AGGUGGUGAAUCCUCCGAUAAGGGCAAAGAAAUUGUACCCGAGGAUCGAUAGUCAGAGUACUUUAAAAAUUCGACUCUCAAAAUAGUGGUGAAUCCUCCGAUAAAGGCAAGGAAAUUGUACCCGAGGAUCGAUAGUCGGAGUACUCUAAAAAUUCGACUUCCGAAAUACUUGCUGCAAUGGGCGAGUUCUGUGGACCAACCUAUUAGAGGGGCACGAAAUCUGGUUAUAGACAUACCUCGGUCAGAGAGGCGCGUAGGGUAUCUCUUGAGGUAUGGUUAGAGUUCACGUCACGUCGAACCACCUAGUG
This is a non-coding RNA of Theobroma cacao (cacao), 308 nucleotides long. The record is from RefSeq and is a predicted model, not a curated record. NCBI's taxonomy places the organism in Eukaryota, Viridiplantae, Streptophyta, Magnoliopsida, Malvales, Malvaceae.